RNAcentral lists this long non-coding RNA (489 nucleotides) under Brassica rapa (field mustard). Its description in RNAcentral is "long non-coding RNA (BRAP_LNC001147)". The record is from RNAcentral. Lineage: Eukaryota; Viridiplantae; Streptophyta; Magnoliopsida; Brassicales; Brassicaceae.
UGAUUCGAAUUUCAAAACAUGGUAGAAGAAACGUUAGCUGGUUCCGAAAUAAAAGAGAUUAUGGUCUAAAAUCCAAACUCUUCUUAGUUAGUAAAAAAAUUGGUUUAGCUAUGCUAACACUGUAACAUGUUUCUUAACAUUUACACCAGAAAAAACAAAAAAAAAACUUUGUAACAUGUUAUUGACCAAGAAAACAUAGUAAGAUCUGUUUUUCAACCAGCAAAAAAAACAGUCAACACGAAUUCUUAAACAAACUUAAAGCAACAAUUCUUAAACAACGUUAAAGCGUGAUUCGACACAUUUGCUAAUAUUAAUUUUCUAAAAACAUGUGCUAUUAUUUUGUCAUGUAAUUUAACUAGUUGACCUAAACAUUAGACAACAGUUAUAAUGUCUUUAAAGAUAACUAAAUACAUAAAGUAAUGGGUACCAGCGAGUACCCAAACCUAUGUAUUACAUAAAGUAAGACAUUGGAGUUAGACCAUCUCCUAC